RNAcentral lists this ribosomal RNA (253 nucleotides) under uncultured bacterium. RNAcentral describes it as "partial 16S ribosomal RNA". It matches the Rfam family "Bacterial small subunit ribosomal RNA", at positions 524 to 776 of the family's 1533-position model. The record is from RNAcentral.
GACGGAGGGUGCAAGCGUUGUUCGGAAUUACUGGGCGUAAAGGGCGCGUAGGCGGUCUGUUAAGUUCGGUGUGAAAGCCCCCGGCUCACCUGGGGAACUGCGCCGGAAACCGACAGACUCGAGUACCGGAGAGGAGGGUGGAAUUCCUGGUGUAGCGGUGAAAUGCGUAGAUAUCAGGAGGAACACCGGUGGCGAAAGCGACUCUCUGGACGGCAACUGACGCUGAGGCACGAAAGCGUGGGGAGCAAACAGG